This is a small nuclear RNA of Suncus etruscus (white-toothed pygmy shrew), 107 nucleotides long. The record is from RefSeq and is a predicted model, not a curated record. NCBI's taxonomy places the organism in Eukaryota, Metazoa, Chordata, Mammalia, Eulipotyphla, Soricidae.
AAAUUUCCUUCCCAAGCUUGCAUACUUCAACUGGAAAAAUACAGAGAAAAUAAGCAUGACCCCAGCACAAAAAUGUGAAGCAAAUUCACGAAGUUUUCCGUCAUUUU